UCUAAACCCAUUAACGCCACUAAAAAAGACAUUUAAAGGAUAGAAAUCGUAAUUAUGAGAUCAGAAUUAUAUUUUCUAUGAUUGAAACUUUUUCAGAGCUUGUUGGACUUUUACCAUGACGUAAAUAAAGUGCGUAAUCUUUAAGAAGGGGCGUGGCUUCUCGGUACGUUUCUAUUGCUGCUUCCGUGCAGCUCAAUGCGGAAGACAAACAGGGAUCAACUCAUUCCUAAUAAACUCCGAAACCGGACCGAAAGAAAGUUCCCAAGGAGUUGCGAUUGAGACCUGAAGUAUUUCACUUGUCAGGUCAAAAAUCAUAACAUGUGGCCAAAUCAAGGUCCUCCCCCUCCAGUGGGCCCACCAAACCCUGCCUAUCCUCCUGGCCACAACCCUGCAUAUCCUGUUGCACCUACAUCAGGAUUCUUCCCACCACCUGGGCAAUAUCCAGCUGGGCAAUAUCCAGCCGGGCAAUAUCCAGCCGGGCAAUAUCCAGCCGGGCAAUAUCCAGCCAUGGUACCACAAGUACCCCCAGGGGGCAUGCCUUAUAGUGCUCAGGGACCCAAUCCUUAUCCUAUGGCUCCGGGUGGAUAUCCACUUGUUCCUCCUGCAGGGGCUCACCCAGGUCCUUACCCGCACUCUCCAAAAGGAGGUCACCAUAAAGGCCAUAAAGGCCACAAAAAGAUGAAAAAGGUGAAGAAGAUGAAGAAGGCGCAUAAGGGGCAGAAACACGGCAAGUCGUCCAGCAGCAGUAGCAGCAGCAGCAGCAGCAGUGACUAAGACCGAGGCCACAAGGCUUUUUCAGAAGCAAGAGUGCAACCUUUAUAUUAAAAAUAACCACACUAAAGUCAUACUUGUCACUUUAAACAUGAAGUGUACAAUUAAAGCAUUUAAAUAAAAUAAAGAUAGAAAUAAAGUGUUUUAGCAUUUCUCAUUAGAAAUGCAUGCAUGAGCUGUUAACGAUCUCACAGUAUUUGCUGUGUUUACACUCCACCGUGGUGUUUGUGGUGUUUUCAAGUUCCAUUACGAGUACAUUAGUACACAAACAUAUUGACAUUAGUUUGACAUGGGCUGCAGAAUUGAUUUAUGAGAAUAUCUAACAAUGUGAUUUAUUCAAAGAAAAUGUUUUUUUUAUUUUUUAUGAUUGACCUUGAGAUGGAGAUUCAUACGGAUAUUGAGUGUCUUUAUUUUUGUUCACUGCUACACAGCUCAUCACUGCUCACAUCAGUACUACACAUAACUGCAGAAUGCAUUAUUCUACAAGGCUUUGUUUCAGCAUUAAUUGUUAAUAUAAAUAAAGAGUCUUCAAUUAAA
Molecule: long non-coding RNA, 1308 nt
Organism: Gasterosteus aculeatus aculeatus (three-spined stickleback)
Lineage: Eukaryota; Metazoa; Chordata; Actinopteri; Perciformes; Gasterosteidae
Source: Ensembl